Molecule: long non-coding RNA, 2385 nt
Filed under: Ananas comosus (pineapple)
Lineage: Eukaryota; Viridiplantae; Streptophyta; Magnoliopsida; Poales; Bromeliaceae
Description: long non-coding RNA (ACOM_LNC011946)
Source: RNAcentral
GCCAUUGUAUAGGGUAUAUGGACCCAUGAGAGCAAACCUGUGAAAAUUUGGCUAAGUACCAGAAAUUGUGCUCUCGAGGUCCAGCCCUAGCUUCAGGGUCCGGACCCCAUACGCGUGAAAUGCCCUGCGUGGGCAGACUCGGGUGGAAUUGGUCUCGGGGUCCGGACCUUAGCUUUGGGGUCUGGACCCCGUAUGUGCAAAAUGCCCUGCGCAGGCAGACUGGGUGAGGUAUUGCUCUCGGGGUCCAGACCUUAGCUUCAGGGUCCGGACCCCGUAUGCGAAGAAUGCCCAGUGAGGGCUGAUUGGAAAUAAUGAAUUGAGAGGGGCUUUUGUGCUAAUUUGACAAGAUGAAUGGUUAUAUGGGCUAGGGUUUGAGUGAGAGCUCAUUUGCUCUCACUCCAACACAAAUUUCUCCCUCUCUCUCUCUAAAAACUCUUCUCUUCUCUCUUCCUCUCUCUCUAGAGCUUGGACAAGGAGAGGAUUUGGAGGAGUUUGGAAGUAGAAGAAGGCAAAGUUGAGGGUGUUGCUUGCAAAAGUGCAAGAGAUCAAGGAAAGCUUGGACUCCAAAGGUGAGUUCUCAUGAUUUGAGCUAGGUUUGGGUUUGUAUUCCUUCUAGCAUGUAUCUAGGAGGUGAAUUAGAGGUUUUCCCCUUAGUAUCCAUGCUUAGGGACUAAUUUUGGGAAAGAUGAUAUUGUACAAGGACCUAUACUUAGGGUUUUUGGAUUUUGAGAUCGAAGCUUAGGUUCGAUCUCAUUUUAACCUAACUAGUAGGUCAACGAACGCAUCGGUGCGCUCGGUUUGGCGAUACGACGAGCGUGCGCGAAGAUAUUGAGGAAAGAAGCUAAAUUGAUACAGAUUGCCGCAGCUCGCGGCGAAAGCAUCUAAAAAUCACGAAAACAGGACCGCGGCAUCCUAGCAUACCCAAAAGGUGGGGGGUACUGUCCGGAAACACCGGAUCUCAUUCUAUGUCUAUGUCACUCUAAUUGUGCAUAUUGAUAUUGAUGCAUUCAUGCAUGUAGGGUAGUAUGGUAUGAGUUUGGUUGAAUGCAUUUAAAUGCUUAAAGAAUAUGUGAAUUAACAAAGAACCAUGUAUGAAAGAACCCUAUGUGUAUUGAAUGCGAGAACGGACUAUGACAAUAGUAAACAAAGGUGACAUUGACAUUAGUGAUCAGAUUGGCACCGAGAAUGUAAAUGACUAAACAAGGUUUAGCUUAUUGUGGCUUCGGGACCAUUGUGACUCAGAAUUCGUGGUCUAUAUGGUAUGGUAGAUCCUAUCAUUGGCAUUGAGAUAUUGUGGCAUGAGACAGGUUUGGCUAUACUUCCUCAAAUUGAGGAUGGGAUCAUACUCACAUGUGUUGAUUCCGGCUUGUGUGAGGUAGCUCCUCCUGAAGCGGUGUACUCCGGAGUAUAGACACCACGGGUGAGAGUGCCCAGCGAAGAUCCCUCGGGCGACAGUGCCAUGUGCCUUCCACGGUAGAAGGGAUGGAUCCCUCGGGGGCAUUUUCAAAUGCUAAUCCCAGUAGAUAGGAUAUGUGAGAUGUGAGUUGGGGUGAACUUGAUGAACCCUGGAAAGAUUGGGUAAAGGCCAUGUAAAAAGAGGAAUGGACAUGCAUGCAUCAAAUUCAUGUAUUUGAUUAUCUAUCUAUCUGUUGACAGUUGUUUUGCAGGCAUUGUAUUAGUAAUAGCAUUAGAUGGUUUGAUAUCUACUUUUAUUGAAAUACAUAUGCCUGAAAUAGACCUAGUGGACGAAUCGGCGUGGUCGGCGGCCGAACCCACUGGAAACUUUGUUCUAGUUCUUAUUACCACUAACCCUGUAAAUCCGUGUGCAAGCGGGGCGGCGGAGGAUCAAGGCAAGGGUAUCGCGGCGUAGAUAGCGGCCCUCGGUGUAUAGGCAUACCCUACAUUUUGUGUACUCAACUUUUGUAUGUUGAACUAAUGAUGUAAAAGAUGUAGAACCUUAUAUUUUGGUUAAUGGCUAAUGUGAUGUAAAUAUGAAUGAAUGAAAAGAAUGAAUAUAAAUGAUGGUUUACUUGUGUUUGAUUCAAAGGGAAUCAAAUGACAUGUAUGGUGGAUAAAUGCUUAGUUAGUUUCGAUACUUUCACUAUUGUUGUUGUUUGCCCUCGAGCAAACCUUGUAUAUCUUGCAAUCUCCGUGUUAGCUUGCUUGUGUUAUACAUGUUGUUGGAGCCUUGGGCGGACAUGGGAGGUGCUGUUCGUUCGGAGUCUGUUACGUGCUCGAAUCCGACCAAAUUGGCGAGACUUGGGGCGUGACAUCCUUGCUUCCCUACUGUGUUUUUCUUAGAAAUUACUCGGUUUCCUCUCUACUAUUUUCUAGGGUUGGUGUUUCCUUUGUAUGUUCUAAUCUACUUACGAAUCUGGCCAUUUA